Long non-coding RNA from Medicago truncatula (barrel medic), 552 nucleotides. RefSeq lists it as uncharacterized. The transcript has 2 exons. The record is from RefSeq and is a predicted model, not a curated record. Lineage: Eukaryota; Viridiplantae; Streptophyta; Magnoliopsida; Fabales; Fabaceae.
AAGUGCUUUAUAUACUAUAUAGUGAUCAAAUCAUAUUGUAAAGAGAGAGAAAUAUGGCUAAAACUCUAAAAGUUAUGUAUACAAUGGUUUUAUUUUUUUCCUUAUUUCUUGUUGCAAAGAAUGUUGAUGCGUACGUUUGGUGUGAGACUGUUGAAGAUUGUUUCAAAAGUCAGUACUUUAUUUUUGAUUGCAUUAACAACCAAUGUAUCAAUGUUGGAAAAAACCCAAAGGAACCUAGAUAUCCUGGUAUCCCAAGAGACCAGUAACACCUACACCAUGAUGGGAUAAUGAGUAAUUACAAUAUCAAAACAUCUAUGCAAUAAACCUUAUAAUAAAAUAUUUAGUGGUUAUCAGCCAGCUAUUGCGUUGACACUCAAUAAUUGUAUUAAAUAUUUUCUUCCAAAAAAAUUGUAUUAAAUAUUUAUUCUUCUUUUAUUAAUUUUAUGGACCGUGUAACUAUGGCUUUGUCUCUAAAGAUUAUUUGUUGGACAAUGUUAAGUUAAUGUCAUUUUUAUGGUUGAAAGCUAAUUAGCUUACUUCCGCCUUUAGUUA